GAUGAACGCUGGCGGCGUGCCUAAUACAUGCAAGUCGAGCGAACAGACGAGGAGCUUGCUCCUCUGACGUUAGCGGCGGACGGGUGAGUAACACGUGGAUAACCUACCUAUAAGACUGGGAUAACUUCGGGAAACCGGAGCUAAUACCGGAUAAUAUAUUUAACCGCAUGGUUCAAUAGUGAAAGACGGUUUUGCUGUCACUUAUAGAUGGAUCCGCGCCGCAUUAGCUAGUUGGUAAGGUAACGGCUUACCAAGGCAACGAUGCGUAGCCGACCUGAGAGGGUGAUCGGCCACACUGGAACUGAGACACGGUACAGACUCCUACGGGAGGCAGCAGUAGGGAAUCUUCCGCAAUGGGCGAAAUCCUGACGGAGCAACGCCGCGUGAGUGAUGAAGGUCUUCGGAUCGUAAAACUCUGUUAUUAGGGAAGAACAAAUGUGUAAGUAACUAUGCACGUCUUGACGGUACCUAAUCAGAAAGCCACGGCUAACUACGUG
This 497-nucleotide ribosomal RNA is filed under the name uncultured bacterium. RNAcentral's name for it is "partial 16S ribosomal RNA". It matches the Rfam family "Bacterial small subunit ribosomal RNA", at positions 28 to 507 of the family's 1533-position model. The record is from RNAcentral.